Long non-coding RNA from Branchiostoma floridae (Florida lancelet), 1032 nucleotides. RefSeq lists it as uncharacterized. Lineage: Eukaryota; Metazoa; Chordata; Leptocardii; Amphioxiformes; Branchiostomatidae. The record is from RefSeq and is a predicted model, not a curated record. The transcript is spliced from 2 exons.
UGCACGAAUCACUAUGUGACGCACACUACACGAACCUUAUGUGAUUUGCACGAAUCACUAUGUGACGCACACUACACGAACCUUAUGUGAUUUGCACGAAUCACUAUGUGACGCACACUACACGAACCUUAUGUGAUUUGCACGAAUCACUAUGUGACGCACACUACACGAACCUAUGUGACGCACACUACACGAACCUUAUGUGAUUUGCACGAAUCACUAUGUGACGCACACUACACGAACCUUAUGCGAUUUGCAGGAACCUUAUGCGAAACCGCCCGACCACCACUGGGUCACGUGACAUUGCGUCAUUCACAUGAUUUUCAUAAGGUUUGUGUAUUUUCGUAAAGCGAUUCGUGCAUAUCACAUAAUGUUUGUACGGAUCUCAUAGGGUUCGUGCAAAUGAUUAGGCACCCCUGACUGAUCCUUUUGCUGAUGAAUAAGUGAUUGAAAGAUAUGACCUUCGCAUAAUUGUACGAUGUGUCCUACGCAGUCUGUUUUGAGAUUACUGUAUUAUGUCAUAUAGCAGCUAUACUUUUCAAUGUGCAAUUAUGAAUAUCUAUUUGUAUGUGGCUUUGUAACAAUUAUUAAAGAUCUUCCCUCAAAAGGCAAGGAUGUGUAAUUUAAAAAUUAGUUGCGAAACGAUGCCCAUUGCAUGAUGGGUACAUUGUUGUUUAACCAUAAUAUACCCACAAUGCAUUGUAUUUUGAUGAAAGCAUCUAAAAGUACAGAAUGAAGUUGAUUUGUAUGUUUGUAGGUGUGUACUCAAAAGCCAUUUAUUUUGCUUUUAAAACAGUUGAUAAAAGUUCUGCUUGUAAUGAUAGAAUUCUUUGUGCAAAUGAUUCUAUAAGUGAACUAGCAUUACCGAUUUCUAUUAUAUAGAAGUGGUUUAUUUCGGAGAAAUUACUCUUAAUAUGUUGCAUGUGAAAAAUGUGAUUUUUCAUUUCUUGGUCAGUAUGUAGCCUGCCCAAUGUUGAUGUGUGCUCGAGCAACUGUUUGAUAAAUUGUGAUAACACGAUGUGAAAACUUGAA